UUGAGCUGCAUGCCGGGAAACUGGCACGUGCAGUUCUAAGCUCAGAGGCUGCCUCAAAAAGAGGUGGGUGAUUUCAACAGGUUAUGAUUCCUUCGGAUUUGCGAGAUUCGAU
Molecule: non-coding RNA, 112 nt
Organism: Rhizobium freirei PRF 81
Lineage: Bacteria; Pseudomonadati; Pseudomonadota; Alphaproteobacteria; Hyphomicrobiales; Rhizobiaceae
Source: Rfam